CAAUCUGAGAGUUUGAUCCUGGCUCAGAGCGAACGCUGGCGGCAGGCUUAACACAUGCAAGUCGAACGGGCACUUCGGUGCUAGUGGCAGACGGGUGAGUAACACGUGGGAACGUACCUUUCGGUUCGGAAUAAUUCAGGGAAACUUGGACUAAUACCGGAUACGCCCUUCGGGGGAAAGAUUUAUCGCCGAUAGAUCGGCCCGCGUCUGAUUAGCUAGUUGGUGAGGUAAAGGCUCACCAAGGCGACGAUCAGUAGCUGGUCUGAGAGGAUGAUCAGCCACAUUGGGACUGAGACACGGCCCAAACUCCUACGGGA
This 317-nucleotide ribosomal RNA is filed under the name Allobosea sp. RNAcentral's name for it is "bacterial SSU rRNA". It matches the Rfam family "Bacterial small subunit ribosomal RNA", at positions 1 to 346 of the family's 1533-position model. The record is from RNAcentral. Lineage: Bacteria; Pseudomonadati; Pseudomonadota; Alphaproteobacteria; Hyphomicrobiales; Alloboseaceae.